RNAcentral lists this ribosomal RNA (496 nucleotides) under uncultured bacterium. RNAcentral's name for it is "partial 16S ribosomal RNA". It matches the Rfam family "Bacterial small subunit ribosomal RNA", at positions 28 to 507 of the family's 1533-position model. The record is from RNAcentral.
GAUGAACGCUGGCGGCGUGCCUAAUACAUGCAAGUCGAGCGAACGGACGAGAAGCUUGCUUCUCUGAUGUUAGCGGCGGACGGGUGAGUAACACGUGGAUAACCUACCUAUAAGACUGGGAUAACUUCGGGAAACCGUAGCUAAUACCGGAUAAUAUUUUGAACCGCAUGGUUCAAAAGUGAAAGACGGUCUUGCUGUCACUUAUAGAUGGAUCCGCGCUGCAUUAGCUAGUUGGUAAGGUAACGGCUUACCAAGGCAACGAUGCAUAGCCGACCUGAGAGGGUGAUCGGCCACACUGGAACUGAGACACGGUCCAGACUCCUACGGGGGGCAGCAGUGGGAAAUCUUCCGCAAUGGGCGAAGCCUGACGGAGCAACGCCGCGUGAGUGAUGAAGGUCUUCGGAUCGUAAAACUCUGUUAUUAGGGAAGAACAUAUGUGUAAGUAACUGUGCACAUCUUGACGGUACCUAAUCAGAAAGCCACGGCUAACUACGUG